Molecule: ribosomal RNA, 253 nt
Filed under: uncultured bacterium
Lineage: Bacteria
Description: partial 16S ribosomal RNA
Rfam family: Bacterial small subunit ribosomal RNA
Source: RNAcentral
UACGGGGGGGGCAAGCGUUGUUCGGAAUUACUGGGCGUAAAGGGCUCGUAGGCGGCCAACUAAGUCAGACGUGAAAUCCCUCGGCUUAACCGGAGAACUGCGUCUGAUACUGGAUGGCUUGAGUUUGGGAGAGGGAUGCGGAAUUCCAGGUGUAGCGGUGAAAUGCUUAGAUAUGACAUAGAACACCAAUUGCGAAGGCAGCUUACUACACAGUAAUUGACACUGAGGCACGAAAGCGUGGGGAUCAAACAGG